RNAcentral lists this ribosomal RNA (497 nucleotides) under uncultured bacterium. Its description in RNAcentral is "partial 16S ribosomal RNA". It matches the Rfam family "Bacterial small subunit ribosomal RNA", at positions 28 to 507 of the family's 1533-position model. The record is from RNAcentral.
GAUGAACGCUGGCGGCGUGCCUAAUACAUGCAAGUCGAGCGAACAGACGAGGAGCUUGCUCCUCUGACGUUAGCGGCGGACGGGUGAGUAACACGUGGAUAACCUACCUAUAAGACUGGGAUAACUUCGGGAAACCGGAGCUAAUACCGGAUAAUAUAUUGAACCGCAUGGUUCAAUAGUGAAAGACGGUUUUGCUGUCACUUAUAGAUGGAUCCGCGCCGCAUUAGCUAGUUGGUAAGGUAACGGCUUACCAAGGCAACGAUGCGUAGCCGACCUGAGAGGGUGAUCGGCCACACUGGAACUGAGACACGGUCCAGACUCCUACGGGAGGCAGCAGUAGGGAAUCUUCCGCAGAGGGCGAAAGCCUGACGGAGCAACGCCGCGUGAGUGAUGAGGGUCUUCGGAUCGUAAAACUCUGUUAUUAGGGAAGAACAAAUGUGUAAGUAACUAUGCACGUCUUGACGGUACCUAAUCAGAAAGCCACGGCUAACUACGUG